AAUUUACUUGAUGAGUAUGUUGUUUCUUUAUGGGUGGAAGUUGGGUAUUAAAGAUUUGAGAAUGAGAAAUUGAGAUUUGAAUGAUAUGAUUUCAAGAAGUUGAUUUGAAUGAAUCUUUUAUUACAACUUUGAUCUUUGAAUCUUGAUUAAAUUACAUGAUGAAAGUUUGGUGGGAAUUGAUGGAUCUAUGAUGAAUUGAUGGUGGAAUUUCGUUUUUCUAUGUUGGUAUGUGUGGAAGGGAAGUUUUGAAUGAAUUUGGUUAUGAAAUUGGAUUGAAAACAUGGAAGUUUAUCUCACUUUGUCAUGAAGUGCGAAAAUAGUUUGUUUUGGUUGGUUGAUGAAUUUUAGAUGGAUGAAUUGAUUUGGUUUGUGUGAAUAUCUUGACAAGAUGGAAGUAUGAUGUGUUUUAAUAGAUUGAAUGAUGGGAAUGAUGAUGGGAAUUCAUUCUAAUAUGUUUGUACUUAUGAAUAUGAAGUUUUGGAUGAUUUGGUUCUUGAAAAGAGAUGAAAAACAUGGGAGUUUUACCUCACCUAUUUCCAAAUCCGAAAAUCAUGUGUUCUUAAACAAAUGAUGAACAUGAAUGAAAUGAAUGUGAAUUCUUCUUGUGAGAUCUUGGAUUGGAAAAGUUCUAUUCUUGGAUGAAGGCUUUUGAGCAUGUUUUGAUGGAAAAGAGAUGCUUUGAGUAUGAAAUGAACUCUAACUUGGAUUGGACAUUUGAUUUUCGUAUGUAUAUUAUAUGAUGAGUUGUUAUGGGAUUUUAAGAUGUCAAAAACCAUGAAAAUCAUGUAAAACAGAGAAGUUUGUUCAUGUAUAUCAUUGUAUACGAAAAUUUGAUGAUUUUGAUGGAUGUGGAAAUGAGAUUUACAAUAUGUAUGAGUUGUUGAGUACAUGAUCUAUGCUUGGAUGAGAUGAGUGGUGGAGACUACCCUUUUCCCUUUGAUUUUAUGAAAUUGGGAAGUGGUAUGUACAAACUGUUUUUGGAAUUGAUGCAGUAAAUUAUGGGGUUGCAUUAGUGUUUAAAAUCUUGAAGAAAAGGUUAAUUUUUGGUAAUGAAGGAUUGGUUGAAAGUUGUUUGAAAUUAUACAUGAAAAUGUUAUGUUAUCCACUUAAAGAGUUGGUUUUGUAAGAGUAAAUGGAUUAAUUGAUGUUUGUGGUUGUUUGUGGAGUGAUUUUAGACUCCAAAUAUGUUUGAGAACAUGUUAGAAGUGUUGAAUCUGUGCUAGAAAUCAAAUCUGGACGAAUCUGGGUGGAAAACCCGAAUCUGGUCGCUGUCAUGGCGCCCGAGCGCCCCUGGUCGCGCUCCAGCGCAACUGGAUGCACCAGCACUUUGCUGAAUUUGUUUUUGGAGGUUUUGGGGGUUACGGAUGUCCGUUUUGGACGUUCUUUAGGUCGUUCUGGAGGUUUUUGACCCUUCCGGAACCAUUGGUGAUGGUCUCCAAGCUGUUUGAGUUACCUAAGUUUCNGUAAUCAAUGUUGCCAUGAAGAAAGUUGUGAANUUGAUUGUGAAUNAUGGAUUAAGUGAUGUGGAAAUGAGUUGUAUGUGAAUAUACUUUGUUAAGUAUGGUUGUGGAUAACUAAGUAAGUUUAANUGAGAAUGAUGUGUCGAGAAAUACAUGGAAUGAAAUAUAUGUGAAAAUANUUUGUUAAGUAUGGUUGAGGAUAAUUAAACUGUAAGUUUAAUUGCGUUGAUAAGGAGAUGUAUGUGAAAUNCUUUGUUAAGUAUGAUUAAGGAUUAUUAGAUUGUGAUUGUGAAUUGAGUUUGGAGAUGAGUAUUCUCUUGAGUAUCCGCUACUUUGGUAAGUAGGCAAAACGAAUUGAUGAUAUGUUGAAUUGAUAUUAUGUUGAUUAUUAAUUGGUUGAGCAUGACUGGAAUGGGAUUGUUAGAUGAAAUGGAUUGUUAUUGAUUAUGUGUGAUAAGUUAUAAAAAUGUAACUUGGUUAAUCUAUGCUACUUCGGUAAGUAGAUAGAAUUGAAAUUGAGAAAUGUUGAUUGGUUAUUAUAUGCUUGUUGAGCAUGAUUGGUUUGGGAUUGGUUGUUGAGAUAACCUGAGAUUUGUUAUGAAUGAUAUGUUACAAAAAUGUAAUUUUGUGAAGCUGUGCUACUUUGGUAAGUAGACAAAAUGGAAUUGGGAAACAUUAAUUGAUUCUCAUAUACCCGUCGAUUAUGAUUGGUUUUGGAAUGGGUUGUGGUUAAUUAUGAAUAUUAUGUUAUAAUAUUGUAAAUUUUGUUGGUCUGCGCUACUUUGGUAAGUAGGCAGGAGUAUGUUGGUCUGCGCUACUUUGGUAAGUAGGCAGNUUGGUCUGCGCUACUUUGGUAAGUAGGCAGGAGUAUGUUGGUCUGCGCUACUUUGGUAAGUGGGCAGGGAGAUAUUGGUAUUACACUACUUUGGUAAGUAGGUUGAAGGAUUGGUACUACGCUACUUUGGUAAGUAGGUAGAAUAAUCUGACGACAUUCUACUUUGGUAAGUAGACAAGUGAAACGGGUACUGCGCUACUUUGGUAAGUAGGUCAAAAAAAAAAGAGAGGCUGUAACACUUUGAUAAGUGAGAUGAUAAUUCUUUUACUGAAGAAUAAUAUUGUUAUAUUAUGUUUAAUAGUGUGAUUAACUGUAUCGAACAUUGUAAAUAUAUUAUAAAGGACUGUGAAUGAUUUGUAUGUUUGUGACAGUUAGCUCACCCUGUUGUUUGUGUUUGUGUGCAUGUGAAUGCGAUGAUCGUAUAAUGCGUGAUGUUAUACAG
Molecule: long non-coding RNA, 2737 nt
Filed under: Vigna radiata
Lineage: Eukaryota; Viridiplantae; Streptophyta; Magnoliopsida; Fabales; Fabaceae
Description: long non-coding RNA (VRAD_LNC010045)
Source: RNAcentral